GUUUGAUCCUGGCUCAGAGCGAACGUUAGCGGCGCGCCUAACACAUGCAAGUCGCACGAGAAAGGGCCUCGGCCCCGAUACAGUGGCGCACGGGUGAGUAACACGUGGGGGACCUUCCCCGGAGUGGUGGAUAACCUGCCGAAAGGCGGGCUAAGACAGCAUACGAGGCGGGGGCUACGGCCUUCGUCUGAAAGCAGGCCUCUCUUCAGAAGCUUGCGCUCCGGGAUGGCCCCGCGUCCCAUCAGCUAGUUGGUGAGGUAACGGCUCACCAAGGCGACGACGGGUAGCUGGUCUGAGAGGAUGGCCAGCCACACUGGAACUGAGACACGGUCCAGACUCCUACGGGAGGCAGCAGUGGGGAAUCUUGCGCAGUGGGCGAAAGCCUGACGCAGCGACGCCGCGUGGGCGACGAAGGCCUUCGGGCUGUAAAGCCCUGUGGGGCGGGACGAAUAAGGGCUGGGCGAACAGGCCAGCCCCCUGACGGUACCGCCUUAGCAAGCACCGGCUAACUCUGUGCCAGCAGCCGCGGUAAGACAGGGGGUGCGAACGUUGCUCGGAAUUACUGGGCGUAAAGCGCGUGCAGGUGGCUCUCCACGUCCGGUGUGAAAGCCCGGGGCUCAACCCCGGAAGCGCGCUGGAUACGAGGGAGCUUGAGGGCUGGAGAGGCAGGCGGAAUUCCCGGUGUAGAGGUGAAAUUCGUAGAUAUCGGGAGGAACACCGGUGGCGAAGGCGGCCUGCUGGACAGCACCUGACACUGAGACGCGAAAGCGUGGGUAGCAAACAGGAUUAGAUACCCUGGUAGUCCACGCCGUAAACGAUGCGCACU
Molecule: ribosomal RNA, 826 nt
Filed under: uncultured delta proteobacterium
Lineage: Bacteria; Deltaproteobacteria
Description: bacterial SSU rRNA
Rfam family: Bacterial small subunit ribosomal RNA
Source: RNAcentral